GACGAACGCUGGCGGCGUGCUUAACACAUGCAAGUCGAACGGAAAGGCCCUGCUUUUGUGGGGUGCUCGAGUGGCGAACGGGUGAGUAACACGUGAGUAACCUGCCCUUGACUUUGGGAUAACUUCAGGAAACUGGGGCUAAUACCGGAUAGGAGCUCCUGCUGCAUGGUGGGGGUUGGAAAGUUUCGGCGGUUGGGGAUGGACUCGCGGCUUAUCAGCUUGUUGGUGGGGUAGUGGCUUACCAAGGCUUUGACGGGUAGCCGGCCUGAGAGGGGGACCGGCCACAUUGGGACUGAGAUACGGCCCAGACUCCUACGGGAGGCAGCAGUGGGGAAUAUGGCACAAUGGGCGGAAGCCGGAUGCAGCAACGCCGCGGGCGGGAUGACGGCCUUCGGGUUGUAAACCGCUUUCGCCUGUGACGAAGCGUGAGUGACGGUAAUGGGUAAAGAAGCACCGGCUAACUACGUG
RNAcentral lists this ribosomal RNA (468 nucleotides) under uncultured bacterium. Its description in RNAcentral is "partial 16S ribosomal RNA". It matches the Rfam family "Bacterial small subunit ribosomal RNA", at positions 28 to 507 of the family's 1533-position model. The record is from RNAcentral.